RNAcentral lists this ribosomal RNA (601 nucleotides) under Leeuwenhoekiella palythoae. RNAcentral's name for it is "bacterial SSU rRNA". It matches the Rfam family "Bacterial small subunit ribosomal RNA", at positions 78 to 679 of the family's 1533-position model. The record is from RNAcentral. Lineage: Bacteria; Pseudomonadati; Bacteroidota; Flavobacteriia; Flavobacteriales; Flavobacteriaceae.
UGCUAAUUUGCUGACGAGUGGCGCACGGGUGCGUAACGCGUAUGCAAUCUGCCUUGUACUGGAGUAUAGCCCAGGGAAACUUGGAUUAAUCCUCCAUAGUCUAUUGAUAUGGCAUCGUAUUAAUAGUAAAGGUUACGGUACAAGAUGAGCAUGCGUCCUAUUAGCUAGUAGGUGUGGUAACGGCACACCUAGGCAACGAUAGGUAGGGGUCCUGAGAGGGAGAUCCCCCACACUGGUACUGAGACACGGACCAGACUCCUACGGGAGGCAGCAGUGAGGAAUAUUGGACAAUGGGCGGGAGCCUGAUCCAGCCAUGCCGCGUGCAGGAAGACUGCCCUAUGGGUUGUAAACUGCUUUUAUACGGGAAGAAUAAGUGUUACGUGUAGCACGAUGACGGUACCGUAAGAAUAAGCACCGGCUAACUCCGUGCCAGCAGCCGCGGUAAUACGGAGGGUGCAAGCGUUAUCCGGAAUCAUUGGGUUUAAAGGGUCCGUAGGUGGACUAAUAAGUCAGUGGUGAAAGUCUGCAGCUUAACUGUAGAAUUGCCAUUGAUACUGUUAGUCUUGAAUUGUUGUGAAGUAACUAGAAUAUGUAGUGUAGC